GCGCUCGUAGCUCAACUGGAUAGAGCGACAGACUUCGGAUCUGUAGGUUAUGGGUUCAAUUCCUAUCGGGCGCACCA
Molecule: transfer RNA, 77 nt
Filed under: Campylobacter coli
Lineage: Bacteria; Pseudomonadati; Campylobacterota; Epsilonproteobacteria; Campylobacterales; Campylobacteraceae
Also listed under: 2 other names
Description: tRNA-Arg
Rfam family: tRNA
About the family: Transfer RNA (tRNA) molecules are approximately 80 nucleotides in length. Their secondary structure includes four short double-helical elements and three loops (D, anti-codon, and T loops). Further hydrogen bonds mediate the characteristic L-shaped molecular structure. tRNAs have two regions of fundamental functional importance: the anti-codon, which is responsible for specific mRNA codon recognition, and the 3' end, to which the tRNAs corresponding amino acid is attached (by aminoacyl-tRNA synthetases). tRNAs cope with the degeneracy of the genetic code in two manners: having more than one tRNA (with a specific anti-codon) for a particular amino acid; and 'wobble' base-pairing, i.e. permitting non-standard base-pairing at the 3rd anti-codon position.
Source: RNAcentral